RNAcentral lists this ribosomal RNA (250 nucleotides) under uncultured bacterium. Its description in RNAcentral is "partial 16S ribosomal RNA". It matches the Rfam family "Bacterial small subunit ribosomal RNA", at positions 524 to 773 of the family's 1533-position model. The record is from RNAcentral.
UACGAGUGCCUCAAGCGUUAUCCGGAAUCAUUGGGCGUAAAGGGUGUGUAGGCGGCUUUGUUAGUCUUCUGUUAAAUUCUUCGGCUCAACCGGGGUCAUGCAGAGGAAACGGCAAAGCUCGAGAAUGCGAGAGGUUUGCGGAACUCAUGGAGUAGCGGUGAAAUGCGUUGAUAUCAUGGGGAACACCGAAUGCGAAGGCAGCAAACUGGCGCACUUCUGACGCUGAGACACGAAAGCGUGGGUAGCGAAU